Molecule: non-coding RNA, 1331 nt
Organism: Cyanistes caeruleus (blue tit)
Lineage: Eukaryota; Metazoa; Chordata; Aves; Passeriformes; Paridae
Source: RefSeq, a predicted model, not a curated record
CCUCUGGCUGCUGGCACCCCUUUCCCAGGGCUGCAGGGUUUUACAAGAGGAUCCCUGGAGCCUGCUGCAGUGCUAGGAGUUGUGUAUCUUCUUCCCAACCCAUAACAUCUGCUAACAGUAUUCAGCAGGCCCCAAAGGAGUGAGGAAAGGGGAAGGACUCUAAUUUUGGAAGUAGAAGAAUGACAAGAGGAUCUCCACUGAUUGGACAGCUCUUCUACAUGGAAAAAUAUAUGUUGACUCUCUAGAGUUCUUUAUGAAAGAAUGAACUGAAAGUCAGGAAAGCCAGUGAGUGCUAAAUAAAUUUCACAGCAUUUUAAAUAUCAUAAAGGCAACAAGAAUGUGAGCCUUUUUAGGAAGGAAGAAAGCAGAAGGAGGUAACUUAGAUUAAUCUGAACAUUCUAAGAAAUCAUAAAGUGAGAAGAAAACAAAAAUCAGAGAUUUCACCAAGGAAUAUGCUCAGGUAUCAAGGGACAAAUAAUUUUGAAGGGGGAGCUGAGGGUCUAAUAUCCAGACACCAGCUCAGCAGGGCUUUGAGAGAUCUCUGAAUAAGACAGGAGACAUAAUCAUUGUCAUUUGAGAGACAAUUCUCUAAAGAAUUGAAGAGAAGAGAUACUGACAGGAAAUGCAGACAGAAAUCCUGCCAUGAGCAACCUCUCCAAAGCAGGGAUAUUUCCUCAUCAAAAUAUUCAGAAUAGUGCCAUAAGCUGUGUAAGGGAACAGAUUGACAGGCAGCACAGAGUCAAGAUUAAUGAUGAGUCUCUAACCAUAUAAUUGCAGCUGAAUAUCUGAGUGCAGCAAAUCACACCAAAUAUAGUGAAUAUAAUCAAAUGCACUUCCCGUGCAGGGAAAAUAUCUCUCUGGUGCUCCUGCACAUGCCUGGUUCCCAGAUGAAUCUGUCAAAUUCUUGUUUCAAGCUUUCAAAACCCAGUCAGAGACACUGUCUGUAUGAGGGUGGUUACCCAUAGAACAGCAAAGCCCAUUUCCUGGGGUUGCUGGGCUCCUGCUGCCAUGGCUGAUCCACGGCUGCAGUGUUAUGCAGGAUCAGAAGCCCCAAAGUGGGGCUUUUCUGUUUUCUACAGCAAUCUGGUCACCACCAUGAAUCCCCCUCUUCCUCUGUGCCACCAAAACACAAGAUAUAGUCCAGGAAAUGACCCACAAAUAACCUGAAACUAACUCUAUAAAUGCUGCCCCUUACUCUGGAGGAGUGAAUAGUGAAUGGCAGCACUGACAUUGCUCUGGGGAGAGACAAAGCUCACACAUUCUGACUGCUGAUUCCUACUCUAUGUAGCAAAUUAAACUUGACAUGCACUCCUAUAAAUCCAACCUGGCAG